RNAcentral lists this ribosomal RNA (561 nucleotides) under uncultured bacterium. Its description in RNAcentral is "bacterial SSU rRNA". It matches the Rfam family "Bacterial small subunit ribosomal RNA", at positions 338 to 917 of the family's 1533-position model. The record is from RNAcentral.
CCUACGGGAGGCAGCAGUGGGGAAUCUUGCGCAAUGGGCGAAGGCCUGACGCAGCCAUGCCGCGUGGAUGAUGAAGGUCUUAGGAUUGUAAAAUCCUUUCACCGGUGAAGAUAAUGACUGUAGCCGGAGAAGAAGCCCCGGCUAACUUCGUGCCAGCAGCCGCGGUAAUACGAAGGGGGGCUAGCGUUGCUCGGAAUUACUGGGCGUAAAGGGAGCGUAGGCGGACAUUUAAGUCAGAGGUGAAAUCCCGGAGCUUAACUUCGGAACUGCCUUUGAUACUGGGUGUCUUGAGUGUGAGAGAGGUAUGUGGAACUCCGAGUGUAGAGGUGAAAUUCGUAGAUAUUCGGAAGAACACCAGUGGCGAAGGCGACAUACUGGCUCAUUACUGACGCUGAGGCUCGAAAGCGUGGGGAGCAAACAGGAUUAGAUACCCUGGUAGUCCACGCCGUAAACGAUGAUUGCUAGUUGUCGGGAAGCUUGCUUCUCGGUGACGCAGCUAACGCAUUAAGCAAUCCGCCNGGGGAGUACGGUCGCAGAUUAAAACUCAAAGGAAUUAGACGG